GACGAACGCUGGCGGCGUGCCUAACACAUGCAAGUCGAACGGAAAGGCCCUGCUUUUGUGGGGUGCGCGAGUGGCGAACGGGUGAGUAACACGUGAGUAACCUGCCCUUGACUGUGGGAUAACUUCAGGAAACUGGGGCUAAUACCGGAUAGGAGCUCCUGCUGCAUGGUGGGGGUUGGAAAGUUUCGGCGGUUGGGGAUGGACUCGCGGCUUAUCAGCUUGAUGGUGGGGUAGUGGCGUACCAAGGCUUUGACGGGUAGCCGGCCUGAGAGGGUGACCGGCCCAGCUGGGACUGGACUACGGCCCAGCCCCCACCGGGAGGCAGCGGUGGAGAAUAUUGCACAAUGGGCGGGAGCCUGAUGUGGCCCCGCCGCGUGCGGGAUGACGGCAUUCGGGUUGUAAACCGCUUUCGCCUGUGACGAAGCGUGUGUGACGGUAAUGGGUAAAGAAGCACCGGCUAACUACGUG
Molecule: ribosomal RNA, 468 nt
Filed under: uncultured bacterium
Lineage: Bacteria
Description: partial 16S ribosomal RNA
Rfam family: Bacterial small subunit ribosomal RNA
Source: RNAcentral